This 464-nucleotide ribosomal RNA is filed under the name uncultured bacterium. Its description in RNAcentral is "partial 16S ribosomal RNA". It matches the Rfam family "Bacterial small subunit ribosomal RNA", at positions 38 to 507 of the family's 1533-position model. The record is from RNAcentral.
GGGGGGGGGGGGGGGGGUGCCGAGCGCGGGCGAGGCGGGCGGAUGAGGUUCCUUCGGGGGUGGAUUUAGCGGCGGACGGGUGAGUAACACGUGGGCAACCUGCCUCGUAGAGGGGAAUAGCCUUCCGAAAGGGAGAUUAAUACCGCAUAAGAUUGUAGUAUCGCAUGAUACAGCAAUUAAAGGAGCAAUCCGCUAUGAGAUGGGCCCGCGGCGCAUUAGCUAGUUGGUGAGGUAACGGCCCACCAAGGCGACGAUGCGUAGCCGACCUGAGAGGGUGAUCGGCCACAUGGGGACUGAGACACGGCCCAGACUCCUACGGGAGGCAGCAGUGGGGAAUAUUGCACAAUGGGGGAAACCCUGAUGCAGCAACGCCGCGUGAGUGAUGACGGCCUUCGGGUUGUAAAGCUCUGUCUUCAGGGACGAUAAUGACGGUACCUGAGGAGGAAGCCACGGCUAACUACGUG